GGCCCAGACUCCUACGGGAGGCAGCAGUGAGGAAUAUUGGUCAAUGGGCGGGAGCCUGAACCAGCCAAGUCGCGUGAGGGAAGAAGGUACUGAGUAUUGUAAACCUCUUUUGCCAGGGGACAAAGGCGGCCACGGGUGGCCGUAAGAGGGUACCUGGAGAAAAAGCAUCGGCUAACUCCGUGCCAGCAGCCGCGGUAAUACGUAGGGGGCAAGCGUUAUCCGGAUUUACUGGGUGUAAAGGGAGCGUAGGGGGCAUGGUAAGCCAGAAGUGAAAACCCGGGGCUCAACCCCGCGGAUUGCUUUUGGAACUAUCAGGCUGGAGUGCUGGAGGGGUAAGCGGAAUUCCUAGUGUAGCGGUGAAAUGCGUAGAUAUUAGGAGGAACACCGGUGGCGAAGGCGGCUUACUGGACAGAAACUGACACUGAGGCUCGAAAGCGUGGGGAGCAAACAGGAUUAGAUACCCGUGUA
Molecule: ribosomal RNA, 468 nt
Filed under: uncultured bacterium
Lineage: Bacteria
Description: bacterial SSU rRNA
Rfam family: Bacterial small subunit ribosomal RNA
Source: RNAcentral